UGAAAGCUAUGAUGAAUCAAGAAAAUUAUAUUCGCAUGCCAGACUUUAGAGAUGCCGUGGAAUUAAUGAGAAGAUGUUUCAUGUUCUGAGCAGUGA
This 96-nucleotide small nucleolar RNA is filed under the name Zea mays. RNAcentral describes it as "Small nucleolar RNA R64/Z200 family". It matches the Rfam family "Small nucleolar RNA R64/Z200 family". Rfam says of the family: This family of plant small nucleolar RNAs belong to the C/D class of snoRNA which contain the C (UGAUGA) and D (CUGA) box motifs. This family includes Arabidopsis thaliana snoRNA R64 and Oryza sativa snoRNAs Z200 and J16. Most of the members of the box C/D family function in directing site-specific 2'-O-methylation of substrate RNAs. Lineage: Eukaryota; Viridiplantae; Streptophyta; Magnoliopsida; Poales; Poaceae. The record is from Rfam by way of RNAcentral.